RNAcentral lists this ribosomal RNA (406 nucleotides) under uncultured beta proteobacterium. Its description in RNAcentral is "bacterial SSU rRNA". It matches the Rfam family "Bacterial small subunit ribosomal RNA", at positions 9 to 416 of the family's 1533-position model. Lineage: Bacteria; Pseudomonadati; Pseudomonadota; Betaproteobacteria. The record is from RNAcentral.
GAGUUUGAUCAUGGCUCAGAUUGAACGCUGGCGGCAUGCCUUACACAUGCAAGUCGAGCGGCAGCGCGGGGGCAACCCUGGCGGCGAGCGGCGAACGGGUGAGUAAUGCAUCGGAACGUGUCCUCUUGUGGGGGAUAACCAGUCGAAAGACUGGCUAAUACCGCAUGAGCUCGAGAGAGGAAAGCAGGGGACCCGCAAGGGCCUUGCGCGAGAGGAGCGGCCGAUGUCGGAUUAGCUAGUUGGCGGGGUAAAGGCCCACCAAGGCGACGAUCCGUAGCUGGUCUGAGAGGACGACCAGCCACACUGGGACUGAGACACGGCCCAGACUCCUACGGGAGGCAGCAGUGGGGAAUUUUGGACAAUGGGCGAAAGCCUGAUCCAGCCAUGCCGCGUGUGUGAGAAGGCC